RNAcentral lists this small RNA (665 nucleotides) under Pongo abelii (Sumatran orangutan). Its description in RNAcentral is "retained intron". The record is from RNAcentral. Lineage: Eukaryota; Metazoa; Chordata; Mammalia; Primates; Hominidae.
CUGGUUUCCGGUCCGGUGGGUGCAAGAUGACGGAGCCGGGCGCCUCUCCCGAGGACCCUUGGGUCAAGGUGGAGUAUGCCUACAGCGACAACAGCCUGGACCCCGGGCUUUUUGUAGAAAGCACCCGCAAGGGGAGUGUAGUGUCCAGAGCUAAUAGCAUCGGUUCCACCAGUGCCUCUUCUGUCCCCAACACAGGUAGGCGGUAACAUCCCCCCUACCUUGGGGGGCUCAGAUAUGUCAUAAUUGUAGUACCUUUCCUAGACAGGGAAGCCCCAGCCAUCCACACAGGGGUGCUGGAGCCAAAGUAUCAGACACAGGGUCUCACCAUCUUUCACCUCAUCUGGAACAUUAGGUUCUUCUGUCCAUCUGCCUUCUCUGGACACCAGCUUCUUCCCAGCUGGGGAAAGGUGGGCUAGCUGGACCCCACUGGGCCCCAAGAUGACCUCUCCCUGCCCCCAUCUCUGAGCGUAGAUGACGAGGACAGUGAUUACCACCAGGAGGCCUACAAGGAGUCUUACAAAGACCGGCGGCGGCGCGCACACACUCAGGCUGAGCAGAAGAGGAGGGACGCCAUCAAGAGAGGCUAUGAUGACCUUCAGACCAUCGUCCCCACUUGCCAGCAGCAGGACUUCUCCAUUGGCUCCCAAAAGCUCAGCAAAGCCAUC